UUUCGAUGUGAGCUGCAUAAUUUUGGUC
Molecule: non-coding RNA, 28 nt
Filed under: Bombyx mori (domestic silkworm)
Lineage: Eukaryota; Metazoa; Arthropoda; Insecta; Lepidoptera; Bombycidae
Source: RNAcentral